UCAACACUCAUGUUUUAAUUGUUCAUCAAGCUCAACUUCUUCUCCUUUUGUUGCAGGGAGAUAUUCGUGGAGUAUCCAUCUCCCAUUAUUCUGUGAAUGGAUUAGGCUCCUAAUUUUCCUUGGAAGAUCUCACUUUACCUAUCCUGCCAGAUCAAAACUUUCCAUAAUUCUGGAUUGAAGUUAGAGCGAGCCGUUUGUUAAAUCAUCAGAUCCACACUGGAAGACAUGUAACUGCCCGGAUGUAGUCACUUCCCUUUGCAGCAAGCUUCCUCUUCAGGGUCUGAAAGAAUCCUGGUGAUCUCACUUUGUAGCAAGCGCUUCCUGGACACCCCCAGUGAUUUGACAUUGGUGCUCCCUAUGCCUGACACAAACCCAGGGAAUGCUCCUAUGAUUGAUGCUCUUUUCACUCCGCCUGAGAACUAGAGACAAGGGGAAGCUCAUGGAUCAAAAUCCAAAUUCUCUCAUGUGGUUGAAGAGCACACUGAGCACCUUUGCUUUACAGUCUUUCUUCUAUUGUCUGGUAUGAAAUCUCAGCCAAGGCCUUUCAGCCUGUGGUGAUGAUCAAAAUAACUUUGCCUUCCAUUUGCAUUGUUUUAAAGAAAUGAUUAAACAAUCAAGCCCAGGUAAUCCUUGGACAAUGUUAUAUAAUACAAAAAGU
Molecule: long non-coding RNA, 658 nt
Filed under: Chrysemys picta bellii (western painted turtle)
Lineage: Eukaryota; Metazoa; Chordata; Testudines; Emydidae
Description: lncRNA (ENSCPBG00000018219.1)
Source: RNAcentral